This 520-nucleotide ribosomal RNA is filed under the name uncultured bacterium. RNAcentral's name for it is "bacterial SSU rRNA". It matches the Rfam family "Bacterial small subunit ribosomal RNA", at positions 777 to 1296 of the family's 1533-position model. The record is from RNAcentral.
AAUAGAUACCCUGGUAGUCCACGCCGUAAACGAUGAGUGCUAAGUGUUGGAGGGUUUCCGCCUUUCAGUGCUGCAGCUAACGCAUUAAGCACUCCGCCUGGGGAGUACGGUCGCAAGACUGAAACUCAAAGGAAUUGACGGGGGCCCGCACAAGCGGUGGAGCAUGUGGUUUAAUUCGAAGCAACGCGAAGAACCUUACCAGGUCUUGACAUCUCCUGACCGCCCUGGAGACAGGGUCUUCCCUUCGGGGACAGGAUGACAGGUGGUGCAUGGUUGUCGUCAGCUCGUGUCGUGAGAUGUUGGAUUAAGUCCCGCAACGAGCGCAACCCUUGGUUCUAGUUGCCAGCAUUCAGUUGGGCACUCUAGAGCGACUGCCGGCGACAAGUCGGAGGAAGGUGGGGAUGACGUCAAAUCAUCAUGCCCCUUAUGACCUGGGCUACACACGUGCUACAAUGGAUGGUACAAAGGGCAGCGAAGCGGCGACGCAUAAGCGAAUCCCAGAAAACCAUUCUCAGUUCGG